RNAcentral lists this ribosomal RNA (107 nucleotides) under Bacteroidales bacterium. Its description in RNAcentral is "partial 16S ribosomal RNA". It matches the Rfam family "Bacterial small subunit ribosomal RNA", at positions 1 to 106 of the family's 1533-position model. Lineage: Bacteria; Pseudomonadati; Bacteroidota; Bacteroidia; Bacteroidales. The record is from RNAcentral.
ACAACGGAGAGUUUGAUCCUGGCUCAGGAUGAGCGCUAGCGGCAGGCUUAAUACAUGCAAGUCGAACGGGAUUUGGAUAGCAAUAUCUGAUGAGAGUGGCGCACGGG